This 1340-nucleotide ribosomal RNA is filed under the name Exophiala sp. RNAcentral's name for it is "partial large subunit ribosomal RNA". Lineage: Eukaryota; Fungi; Ascomycota; Eurotiomycetes; Chaetothyriales; Herpotrichiellaceae. The record is from RNAcentral.
AAGGAAACCAACAGGGAUUGCCUCAGUAACGGCGAGUGAAGCGGCAACAGCUCAAAUUUGAAAUCUGGCCUCUUUGGGGUCCGAGUUGUAAUUUGUAGAGGAUGUUUCGGGUACCGCCUCGGUCUAAAUUUCUUGGAACAGAAUGUCAGAGAGGGUGAGAAUCCCGUCUUGGACCGGCGGUAGGGCCCAUGUGAAACUCCUUCGACGAGUCGAGUUGUUUGGGAAUGCAGCUCAAAAUGGGUGGUAUAUUUCAUCUAAAGCUAAAUAUUGGCCAGAGACCGAUAGCGCACAAGUAGAGUGAUCGAAAGAUGAAAAGAACUUUGAAAAGAGAGUUAAACAGUAUGUGAAAUUGUUGAAAGGGAAGCGCUUGCAACCAGACUUGAGCGCGGCGGUUCCCCCUUCCUUUUGGUUGGGUUACUCCGUCGUGUCCAGGCCAACAUCGGUUCUGGGGGUCGGUUAAAGGCUUGGGGAAUGUACCUACGUCUUCGGGCGUAGACUUAUAGCCCCGAGUGUCAUGCGACCUCCCGGGACCGAGGAACGCGCUUCGGCUCGGAUGUUGGCGUAAUGGUUGUAAGCGGCCCGUCUUGAAACACGGACCAAGGAGUCUAACAUCUAUGCGAGUGUUUGGGCGUCAAACCCGGAACGCGGAAUGAAAGUGAACGGAGGUAGGAAGCUUCGGCUGCACUAUCGACCGAUCCUGAUGUCUUCGGAUGGAUUUGAGUAAGAGCAUAGCUGUUGGGACCCGAAAGAUGGUGAACUAUGCCUGAAUAGGGUGAAGCCAGAGGAAACUCUGGUGGAGGCUCGCAGCGGUUCUGACGUGCAAAUCGAUCGUCAAAUUUGGGUAUAGGGGCGAAAGACUAAUCGAACCAUCUGGUAGCUGGUUCCUGCCGAAGWUUCCCUCAGGAUAGCAGUAACGAAAUCAGUUUUAUGAGGUAAAGCGAAUGAUUAGAGGCCUUGGGGUUGAAACAACCUUAACCUAUUCUCAAACUUUAAAUAUGUAAGAAGUCCUUGUUGCUUAAUUGAACGUGGACAUUUGAAUGUAUCGUUACUAGUGGGCCAUUUUUGGUAAGCAGAUCUGGCGAUGCGGGAUGAACCGAACGUGAGGUUAAGGUGCCGGAAUGCACGCUCAUCAGAUACCACAAAAGGUGUCAAUGCAUCUAGACAGCCGGACGGUGGCCAUGGAAGUCGGAAUCCGCUUAGGAGUGUGUAACAACUCACCGGCCGAAUGCAUUGGCCCUGAAAAUGGAUGGCGCUUAAGCGUGUUACCUAUACCUCGCCGUUAGGGUUGACAUGAUGCCCUAACGAGUAGGCAGGCGUGGAGGUCCGUGACGAAGCCUGGG